RNAcentral lists this ribosomal RNA (253 nucleotides) under uncultured bacterium. RNAcentral's name for it is "partial 16S ribosomal RNA". It matches the Rfam family "Bacterial small subunit ribosomal RNA", at positions 524 to 776 of the family's 1533-position model. The record is from RNAcentral.
GACGAGAGGCCCAAGCGUUAUCCGGAGUAACUGGGCGUAAAGGGUGUGUAGGGGGUUGUGUUAGUCCUGUUUUAAAUCUUCAUGCCCAACGUGAAGGCCGGACAGGAAACGGCACAACUAGAGGAUGUGAGAGGCAAGUGGAACUCAUGGUGGAGGGGUGAAAUCCGUUGAUAUCAUGGGGAACACCAAAGGCGAAGGCAACUUGCUGGCGCAUACCUGACCCUGAAACACGAAAGCGUGGGGAUCAAAAAGG